UGCUUGUCUCAAAGAUUAAGCCAUGCAUGUCUAAGUAUAAGCAAUCAUACUGUGAAACUGCGAAUGGCUCAUUAAAUCAGUUAUCGUUUAUUUGAUAUUACCUUUCUACACGGAUACCUGUGGCAAUUCUAGAGCUAAUACGUGUUCAUUCAAAUUUCUGCCCUAUCAACUUUCGAUGGUAGGGUCUUGGCCUACCAUGGUUUCGACGGGUAACGGGGGAUUAGGGUUCGACUCCGGAGAGGGAGCCUGAGAAACGGCUACCACAUCCAAGGAAGGCAGCAGGCGCGCAAAUUACCCAAUUCCGACACGGAGAGGUAGUGACAAGAAAUAUUGAUGCGGGGCCCUUCGGGUCUUGUAAUCGGAAUGAGAACAAUUUAAAACACUUAACGAGGAACAAUUGGAGGGCAAGUCUGGUGCCAGCAGCCGCGGUAAUUCCAGCUCCAAUAGCGUAUAUUAAAAUUGUUGCAGUUAAAACGCUCGUAGUUGAACUUUGGAUCUGGCUGGCCGGUCCGCCUCACCGCGUGCACUGGUCCGGCCGGGUCUUUCCUCCUGGGGAUCCGCAUGCCCUUCACUGGGCGUGUUGGGGAACCAGGACUUUUACUUUGAAAAAAUUAGAGUGUUCAAAGCAGGCCUUUGCCCGGAUACAUUAGCAUGGAAUAAUAGAAUAGGACGUGCGGUUCUAUUUUGUUGGUUUCUAGAAUCGCCGUAAUGAUUAAUAGGGACGGUUGGGGGUUCUGGUAUUCAAUUGUCAGAGGUGAAAUUCUUGGAUUUAUUGAAGACCAACUGCUGCGAAAGCGUUAACCAAAGACGUUUUCAUUAAUCAGUGAACGAAAGUUAGGGGAUCGAAGACGAUCAGAUACCGUCGUAGUCUUAACCAUAAACUGUGCCAACUGGGGAUCGGACGAUGUUAUCAUCUUGACUCGUUCGGCACCCUACGAGAAAUCAAAGUGAGGUUCUGGGGGGAGUAUGGUCGCAAGGCUGAAACUUAAAGAAAUUGACGGAAGGGCACCACCAGGCGUGGAGCCUGCGGCU
RNAcentral lists this ribosomal RNA (1032 nucleotides) under uncultured soil eukaryote. Its description in RNAcentral is "SSU rRNA". It matches the Rfam family "Eukaryotic small subunit ribosomal RNA", at positions 29 to 1190 of the family's 1831-position model. The record is from RNAcentral.